RNAcentral lists this transfer RNA (87 nucleotides) under Candidatus Dormiibacterota bacterium. RNAcentral describes it as "tRNA-Leu". It matches the Rfam family "tRNA". Rfam says of the family: Transfer RNA (tRNA) molecules are approximately 80 nucleotides in length. Their secondary structure includes four short double-helical elements and three loops (D, anti-codon, and T loops). The record is from RNAcentral. Lineage: Bacteria; Bacillati; Candidatus Dormiibacterota.
GCCCGAGUGGCGCAACUGGCUGACGCGGUGGACUCAAAAUCCAUUGCCCGAAAGGGCGUGCGGGUUCGAAUCCCGCCUCGGGCACCA